CCUACGGGAGGCAGCAGUGAGGAAUAUUGGUCAAUGGGCGGGAGCCUGAACCAGCCAAGUCGCGUGAGGGAAGACGGUCCUAUGGAUUGUAAACCUCGUUAGGCGGGGAGCAAUGCCGGGCACGCGUGCCCGGAGGGAGAGGACCCGCAGAAGAAGCAGCGGCUAACUCCGUGCCAGCAGCCGCGGUAAUACGGAGGAUGCGAGCGUUAUCCGGAUUUAGUGGGUUUAACGGGUGCGUAGGCGGAUGUUUAAGUCAGCGGUAAAAUGUCCGGGCUCAACCCGGGCCGGCCGUUGAAACUGGGGCUCUUGAGUGGGCGAGCCGUAUGCGGCAUGCGUGGUGUAGCGGU
RNAcentral lists this ribosomal RNA (347 nucleotides) under uncultured bacterium. Its description in RNAcentral is "partial 16S ribosomal RNA". It matches the Rfam family "Bacterial small subunit ribosomal RNA", at positions 338 to 682 of the family's 1533-position model. The record is from RNAcentral.